Molecule: ribosomal RNA, 506 nt
Filed under: uncultured bacterium
Lineage: Bacteria
Description: partial 16S ribosomal RNA
Rfam family: Bacterial small subunit ribosomal RNA
Source: RNAcentral
AGUGAACGCUGGCGGUAGGCCUAACACAUGCAAGUCGAACGGCAGCACAGGAGAGCUUGCUCUCUGGGUGGCGAGUGGCGGACGGGUGAGGAAUACAUCGGAAUCUACUCUGUCGUGGGGGAUAACGUAGGGAAACUUACGCUAAUACCGCAUACGACCUACGGGUGAAAGCAGGGGAUCUUCGGACCUUGCGCGAUUGAAUGAGCCGAUGUCGGAUUAGCUAGUUGGCGGGGUAAAGGCCCACCAAGGCGACGAUCCGUAGCUGGUCUGAGAGGAUGAUCAGCCACACUGGAACUGAGACACGGUCCAGACUCCUACGGGAGGCGGCAGUGGGGAAUAUUGGACAAUGGGCGCAAGCCUGAUCCAGCCAUACCCCGUGGGUGAAGAAGGCCUUCGGGUUGUAAAGCCCUUUUGUUGGGAAAGAAAUCCAGCUGGCUAAUACCCGGUUGGGAUGACGGUACCCAAAGAAUAAGCACCGGCUAACUUCGUGCCAGCCGCCGCCGUAA